GCCAGUAUGGUGUAGUGGUUUGACUGUUGCACUGUGACUCCAGAGGCCAGGGUUCAAAUCCCCGCUUGGUCA
Non-coding RNA from Phrynosoma platyrhinos (Desert horned lizard), 72 nucleotides. NCBI's taxonomy places the organism in Eukaryota, Metazoa, Chordata, Lepidosauria, Squamata, Phrynosomatidae. The record is from the annotation of a GenBank genome assembly.